RNAcentral lists this ribosomal RNA (327 nucleotides) under uncultured eukaryote. Its description in RNAcentral is "partial 18S ribosomal RNA". It matches the Rfam family "Eukaryotic small subunit ribosomal RNA", at positions 1470 to 1796 of the family's 1831-position model. The record is from RNAcentral.
CCCUUAGAUGUUCUGGGCCACACGCGCGUUACACUGAUGAAGCCAGCGAGUAUAUCGCCUUCACCGGAAGGUGCGGGUAAUCUUGUGAAACUUCAUCGUGCUGGGGAUAGACCAUUGCAAUUAUUGGUCUUGAACGAGGAAUUCCUAGUAAGCAUGAGUCAUCAACUCGUGCUGAUUACGUCCCUGCCCUUUGUACACACCGCCCGUCGCUACUACCGAUUGAAUGGUUUAGUGAGAUCUCGGGAUUGGAGACGUUGCGCCGCAAGGCACAUCGUCCUCGAGAACUUGAUCAAACUUGAUCAUUUAGAGGAAGUAAAAGUCGUGACA